This 26-nucleotide non-coding RNA is filed under the name Homo sapiens (human). Lineage: Eukaryota; Metazoa; Chordata; Mammalia; Primates; Hominidae. The record is from RNAcentral.
UGUGUGUGUGACCGUACAAGCAGAGG